UUUAUGCUUAUACCAUGCCGGCAAGCUGAGGAGGGGAAGUCUGUGCUCCAGCUACUUCAUGUCCUGCCUGGAAAUGGCGAGAGUCAUACCAGGUGCUCUCGGUCAUUUUCAAGCCUCUGCCACCAGACUGCCCCAUGGAGUUGAUUUCCACGGCACAGUUCCUGACCUUAAACUGUUUCUGAAUCCACUGGGGACUUGGGUAGUGGGUGGAAAGUGAGGACACACACUCCUCAGUAAAGAACAGGUGCCAAAUCUGUGCAAGAACUUAGGACAGUCUAGUGCUCGUCACCAAAUCCCUGCCGUUAGCGAGAGGAAGAAGCCGCCCCUACCGUCUAAGAGCCAGCUGGAGGUGCAGUGCAGCCAGAACGCACUGGCCGCAUGUGUGGGGCCCCAGGCUCCAUCCCAGCAUCCCAGAUAAACAAGCACCUUAAUGGCUUAGCUCCUGUCCUCCCACUGAGCCCAGGGCUCUAAAGUGUCCACACAGACUGUACCCCGGGGAGGCCUUGCCAUCUCUGAACAGUGUGGCAAUCUCGCCCCCUUCACCGGCUGUCUAAACUUUCCUUCAGGGUUUUUCUGUAUAUACCGACAGACAGCCAUACCCUACCACAGGCCAAAAAUUCCCUGAAGUCAGAGGGGCAUGGACUGAAUGGGUAGGAAAUUAAUUUUUAUCAAGGCCCCAGGAUCUGCCUUUGCCUGGAAGGACUGUUCCUAACUUGCUAAGGUUCUAGCGGCAGGAUUGACCUGACCCCAAAUACAGCUGUACAGUUAAGACAAUGGUUCACACUCCUCACCUGCUCAUGGGCCACUUGCUGAGCGGCCGCCCUCACAGACCACAUCUCCCUGCUCUGGGGAGUGAUGCCUGGUCCCCGGUGCUAUCUAGUUGAGGUACCGAGCCCCUCAUAUGUGAGUGUCCCAUCUUCUUCCCUAUCUCCGCACUCCUCCCCCAAGUAAACCCCCUUAGCUCCCGCCAGAAUGAGGGCUUAGCUUUUGUCCUUCAAAAGACCAGACCCGGUGUCAUCAUCGCCAGUGGCCUUCACCCUCACUUCUAUGCUUUUAAGAGCAAAGGUGCCCCACCAGGCUUACUACAGCAAUAAGCAAUUCUAUUGCAAUGGAGGUGCCCAUACUAUGCCUGCAAUGCCUUUAUGCCCUGUAAUUAUGAGCAGCGCCUCUCUUACAUACCAGGGAGUGUGAUAAACUGUGGCCACCUUAGCCAUACAUGGCUCCCGUUUCAGGGCCACUGAGGAGCUAGGUUGCUUCUAACCCCUCCAGAAACAGUGGGCUCUAGGCAGCGCGUGGUCCAUUGUAUUUGUGUGCCCACGGCUGGUGCUGGGGACCCCUGGGUUCUCAGUUCUUCUCACACCCCCUAGGUCAACUGACAGGUCCUGAUGGUGGCUUUUAUUUCCUGUGAGUGUUUAAUGUGAGGGGGCAGGGGGUAAACACCUAGCCGUAGCAUGUAGAGACUAUAUACCAUUAGACUUUUCUUUUUUUUAAAAUAAUAAACAUGCUUGACUGGUUUCAAGCUUCGUUGUAAAGAUG
This 1536-nucleotide long non-coding RNA is filed under the name Rattus norvegicus (Norway rat). RNAcentral describes it as "long non-coding RNA NONRATT004142". Lineage: Eukaryota; Metazoa; Chordata; Mammalia; Rodentia; Muridae. The record is from RNAcentral.